UAGGUGAUGAUGCUAUGCGACGUUUAUGGUUAACAUCCAACCUGCAAGAUUUUUAUUAUGCUGAUAUAAUCCGGGAACGCAUUGUGUUUUAUGGUUCAUUCUCAACGUCAAGUUAUUUUACUUUGUUUACUUUAUCGUUGGUCGUUGCUGAAAAAGUCUACCUAGAAAAGUUAUUUGCAGCGUCCUUUGUUUAAUGAGUUAUAAUGAAGAUUCAGCCUUGAACAAGAAAGUGUUUCCUAAUAUCUGAGCAAGUGUUACAAGACUUGUCUGAAAUGUUUUUCUUCUUUCACUGUGAUGCUUACGUGUAUCACAAGUUUCUUAUAGUCAAGUAAAGAUAUAUUCAGACAUGGUUAACUUUUUCUAAUCUGAUGAUUUCCUAUGAAGAUGACCCUGAAGUUCCUAACACUAUCAACAAUUGAGAUAAAUCGGGACUUGGAACAGAAGGCAGUUAGCCCUCAUGAACUUUUGGGAUAUCCAAAAUUUUGGUUUUGAUCAUUAGAGCAGAGAGGAUUUGGCAGCUAACAUAAGGGAGAUGAAGAAUAGAGCUGUUCCCUGUGCUUUUAGAGGAGACAACAUGGUAAGUCUCAAUAACUUCUGAGUGAUUACUCUGUUGAAGAUGUAUAAGCUUUCAGGGACAGAUAUGGUUCCACAAACCAUCACGCGGUCGCAGGAAAAGGGAAAGCUCAUGUAGUUGCUCCAUAUGGUCGAAUAACCAAGGAAACAUGGGGUUUCACGUGGCAACCAAUGGUGGCUACCUUGAUCUAAUGAGACUUUUAGCUCGGCCUCUCCAUCUUUGCUCUCUGUCAGUAACAAUUCAUGUGACACCCUCCUUCAUGAAAAAAAUCUCAUGUGUUUUAGACCAGUGUUUGAGAGGCUUGAAAAGACACUGAGAUCAUGAACUUUUCUAUCACAUCCGCUGUCUCGAAGUCCUCCGGAGAUGUUGUGAAUUAUAGUAAAAAUGAACACACGGGUUUUCAAUUGGCAAUCUCGGGAAUGUUAAUUUGGAGUUUUUUUAUAUGCUCAUGCCUGUGAAAUUGACCGAUAUUAACAUCAAAAUGCUUUUGGCAUUACUCUGUUUGAUAUCAUCAAGCACAAGCCACAUUUUCCAACGUUAAAUCUUUUGUUCGAUGGUUGGUCUCACCCAGAGGGAUGUUCAGUUGUCGUGUUCAGACCACCACACAUGUGGUCGCGUUUCACUUGAAGUACAUAAUAAAAUGUUUGCAGCCUAAAAGCUUGACUUGGGAUAUUUGUUUAGAUUAGUCAGCUAAACGUAUUGAACAAGACUCAUCAUUUGUAUAUGAAGCUUUUAGAAUUUUUGUAGCAUUUUAAUUCUGAAUUUUGGUUUGCCAUGUCAAAAUCUCCACAGUCAAAACAAUAUGAAAAUUCUCUACACAAACUGACAAUAAAUUAUGCAAUUAAAUCAAGAGAGAAGAAACCAUUAUCUUCCAAAAGCAGUUUUGUGAUAUAGAGAAGAAAAGAAUAAGUGUAAUUUUUAUCAACCUUUGCCUUUUAAACUGUUAUAAAAUAUUUAUAUAUAAAUUAAUUAUAACAAAUAAAGAAAAACUUAAAAAUAUUAGAUUGAUUUUAUAUAACAAAUAUAAAACAACUUUACAUCAGUUAUAAAUUAUUUCAAGUUUGACUAUUCUAUCUAAAAUAGUUGUGUAUGUAGCAAGAAUAAAUGAAACUGCUUAAAGAAGCUAACAGGAAGCAAGCCACCGCACAACCAAAUCAGAGCUGUUACCACAACAAGAACUUGGGUCCAAGAAGGCCACUUACACCAGAUGUUGGAAACCGUCGGUGGAUUAAUCCAAAGAAGACUACCGCCAUAUUUGGCACGAUCUACAUAUCUAUAGACCAGACACCAGAUCUAAAGACCCGAGUUAUAUCUCCGACUCCUAUGGCAAGAUGGACUCCGAUAACACACCGAAACUCCAGAGAUCUUUGAUAGAGACAGAAACAUAAAA
Molecule: long non-coding RNA, 1964 nt
Organism: Brassica napus (rape)
Lineage: Eukaryota; Viridiplantae; Streptophyta; Magnoliopsida; Brassicales; Brassicaceae
Exons: 2
Source: RefSeq, a predicted model, not a curated record